Molecule: ribosomal RNA, 236 nt
Filed under: uncultured bacterium
Lineage: Bacteria
Description: partial 16S ribosomal RNA
Rfam family: Bacterial small subunit ribosomal RNA
Source: RNAcentral
UUUGCCUACGGGACGCAGCAGUGAGGAAUAUUGGUCAAUGGGCGCAGGCCUGAACCAGCCAAGUAGCGUGAAGGAUGACUGCCCUAUGGGUUGUAAACUUCUUUUAUAUGGGAAUAAAGUUUUCCACGUGUGGAAUUUUGUAUGUACCAUAUGAAUAAGGAUCGGCUAACUCCGUGCCAGCAGCCGCGGUACUACGGAGGAUCCGAGCGUUAUCCGGAUUUGUUGGGUUUAAAGGG